This 495-nucleotide ribosomal RNA is filed under the name uncultured bacterium. RNAcentral's name for it is "partial 16S ribosomal RNA". It matches the Rfam family "Bacterial small subunit ribosomal RNA", at positions 28 to 505 of the family's 1533-position model. The record is from RNAcentral.
GAUGAACGCUGGCGGCGUGCCUAAUACAUGCAAGUCGAGCGAACGGACGAGGAGCUUGCUUCUCUGAUGUUAGCGGCGGACGGGUGAGUAACACGUGGAUAACCUACCUAUAAGACUGGGAUAACUUCGGGAAACCGGAGCUAAUACCGGAUAAUAUUUUGAACCGCAUGGUUCAAAAGUGAAAGACGGUCUUGCUGUCACUUAUAGAUGGAUCCGCGCUGCAUUAGCUAGUUGGUAAGGUAACGGCUUACCAAGGCAACGAUGCAUAGCCGACCUGAGAGGGUGAUCGGCCACACUGGAACUGAGACACGGUCCAGACUCCUACGGGAGGCAGCAGUAGGGAAUCUUCCGCAAUGGGCGAAAGCCUGACGGAGCAACGCCGCGUGAGUGAUGAAGGUCUUCGGAUCGUAAAACUCUGUUAUUAGGGAAGAACAUAUGUGUAAGUAACUGUGCACAUCUUGACGGUACCUAAUCAGAAAGCCACGGCUAACGACG